GGGGGAGCAAGCGUUGUUCGGAUUUACUGGGCGUAAAGGGCGCGUAGGCGGUCAGCACAAGUCAGUUGUGAAAUCUCCGGGCUUAACUCGGAAAGGUCAACUGAUACUGUGCGACUAGAGUGCAGAAGGGGCAACUGGAAUUCUCGGUGUAGCGGUGAAAUGCGUAGAUAUCGAGAGGAACACCUGCGGCGAAGGCGGGUUGCUGGGCUGACACUGACGCUGAGGCGCGAAAGCCAGGGGAGCGAACGGGAUUAGAUACCCCGGUAGUCCUGGCCUUAAACGAUGGAUGCUUGGUGUCUGGAGUUAUAUAGUCUCCGGGUGCCGCAGCUAACGCGUUAAGCAUCCCGCCUGGGGAGUACGGUCGCAAGACUG
Molecule: ribosomal RNA, 372 nt
Filed under: uncultured organism
Description: bacterial SSU rRNA
Rfam family: Bacterial small subunit ribosomal RNA
Source: RNAcentral